GAUUUCUGGACUGAAGCAUUUAGCCGGCCGCGGUUUCGCGUGUUAGUGCUGGAUGCUCUGUCCAUCCUUCCAAUCGCUAUUGGCUAUUCUUCAUUGAAUGGUCCGUAGUAUUGGAUCUUUUACUUUGAAAAAAUUAGAGUGUUUCAAGCAGGCUUUAUGCUAUGAAUACAUUAGCAUGGAAUAAUAAUUUAGGACUUCGGUUCUAUUUUGUUGGUUUCUAGGACUGAAGUAAUGAUUGAUAGGGACAGUUGGGGGUGCUAGUAUUCAGCGGCCAGAGGUGAAAUUCUUGGAUUCGCUGAAGACUAACUUAUGCGAAAGCAUU
RNAcentral lists this ribosomal RNA (322 nucleotides) under uncultured Paracercomonas. RNAcentral's name for it is "bacterial SSU rRNA". The stretch from base 53 to 322 matches the Rfam family "Eukaryotic small subunit ribosomal RNA", at positions 685 to 955 of the family's 1831-position model. The record is from RNAcentral. Lineage: Eukaryota; Cercozoa; Cercomonadida; Cercomonadidae.